RNAcentral lists this ribosomal RNA (445 nucleotides) under uncultured bacterium. RNAcentral's name for it is "bacterial SSU rRNA". It matches the Rfam family "Bacterial small subunit ribosomal RNA", at positions 330 to 792 of the family's 1533-position model. The record is from RNAcentral.
GCCAGACUCCUACGGGAGGCAGCAGUGGGGAAUAUUGCACAAUGGGGGAAACCCUGAUGCAGCGACGCCGCGUGAGUGAAGAAGUAUUUCGGUAUGUAAAGCUCUAUCAGCAGGGAAGAUAAUGACGGUACCUGACUAAGAAGCCCCGGCUAACUACGUGCCAGCAGCCGCGGUAAUACGUAGGGGGCAAGCGUUAUCCGGAUUUACUGGGUGUAAAGGGUGCGCAGGUGGCAGGGCAAGUCAGAUGUGAAAGCCCGGGGCUCAACCCCGGUAUUGCAUUUGAAACUGUCCGGCUAGAGUGCAGGAGAGGUAAGCGGAAUUCCUAGUGUAGCGGUGAAAUGCGUAGAUAUUAGGAGGAACACCAGUGGCGAAGGCGGCUUACUGGACUGUAACUGACACUGAGGCACGAAAGCGUGGGGAGCAAACAGGAUUAGAUACCCGAGUA